CCUACGGGAGGCAGCAGUGAGGAAUAUUGGUCAAUGGGCGCGAGCCUGAACCAGCCAAGUCGCGUGAAGGAUGACGGCCCUACGGGUUGUAAACUUCUUUUAUAAAGGAAUAAAGUGCGGCACGUGUGCCUUUUUGUAUGUAUUUUAUGAAUAAGGAUCGGCUAACUCCGUGCCAGCAGCCGCGGUAAUACGGAGGAUCCGAGGGUUAUCCGGAUUUAUUGGGUUUAAAGGGAGCGUAGAUGGGCUGUUAAGUCAGUUGUGAAAGUUUGCGGCUUAACCGGAAAAGUGCAAUUGAUACUGGCAGUCUGGAGUAGAGUAGAGGUAGGCGGAAUGCGUGGUGUAGCGGUGAAAUGCUUAGAUAUCACGAAGAACCCCGAUUGCGAAGGCAGCCUA
RNAcentral lists this ribosomal RNA (393 nucleotides) under uncultured bacterium. RNAcentral describes it as "partial 16S ribosomal RNA". It matches the Rfam family "Bacterial small subunit ribosomal RNA", at positions 338 to 728 of the family's 1533-position model. The record is from RNAcentral.